AGAGUUUGAUCCUGGCUCAGAUUGAACGCUGGCGGCAUGCCUUACACAUGCAAGUCGAACGGUAACAGCACUUCGGUGGCUGACGAGUGGCGAACGGGUGAGUAAUACAUCGGAACGUGCCCGAGAGUGGGGGGUAACGCAGCGAAAGCUGUGCUAAUACCGCAUACGAUCUACGGAUGAAAGCAGGGGACCGCAAGGCCUUGCGCUCACGGAGCGGCCGAUGGCAGAUUAGGUAGUUGGUGGGAUAAAAGCUUACCAAGCCGACGAUCUGUAGCUGGUCUGAGAGGACGACCAGCCACACUGGGACUGAGACACGGCCCAGACUCCUACGGGAGGCAGCAGUGGGGAAUUUUGGACAAUGGGCGAAAGCCUG
This 373-nucleotide ribosomal RNA is filed under the name uncultured bacterium. Its description in RNAcentral is "bacterial SSU rRNA". It matches the Rfam family "Bacterial small subunit ribosomal RNA", at positions 8 to 385 of the family's 1533-position model. The record is from RNAcentral.